AGGGAAGUAGCUCAAUCGGCAGAGCAGGUGCCUUUGGAGCACAAGGUUAAAGGUUCGAGUCCUUUCUUCCCUG
This 73-nucleotide transfer RNA is filed under the name Chloroflexota bacterium. Its description in RNAcentral is "Chloroflexi bacterium tRNA-Gln". It matches the Rfam family "tRNA". Rfam says of the family: Transfer RNA (tRNA) molecules are approximately 80 nucleotides in length. RNAcentral also lists the same sequence under 2 other names. Lineage: Bacteria; Bacillati; Chloroflexota. The record is from RNAcentral.